CCCUUCUGUUCACCAGUGCUUGAAUGUGGCCGGGCAACCAGCUAGAACAGAUCACUGCCAGGCUUCAGCAGCUCCUGAGCUGCCAAGAGGCUGCUUUGGCAAGUCAUAGGUUUGCAGAAAGAGAGGAGUGCUGACUUGGAGCAUCCCUGAGAUGUUGUGUGCUACCAGCUUCAGUGCUUCCAGCCUUGAAUGUGGAUGGAAUUAAGUCUCGUGCCAUACCCACUUGUUGUCCACAAGUUGCUGGGACCUUGUAUGUCUCUGACAGUGAAAGGACGAUACUGCUGAAACACACGUGUGUAAAGUGGCCAAAGACUGACAGAAAGGUAGAGUAAAAGAAAACUUUGAGAGUCAUUUUUUUCCAGAUUAAAUUGUUUGAUCUGGCACUAAUACAUCACUCAGGCAAGCUUCAGUUAAAGUCGGUUCUGCUCUCUUUUUAUGUGCCUCCUACUGCCUCUGAAUAAAUCUUACACCCUUCUCCA
This 479-nucleotide long non-coding RNA is filed under the name Numida meleagris (helmeted guineafowl). RNAcentral describes it as "lncRNA (ENSNMEG00000012830.1)". Lineage: Eukaryota; Metazoa; Chordata; Aves; Galliformes; Numididae. The record is from RNAcentral.